RNAcentral lists this non-coding RNA (198 nucleotides) under Bryobacterales bacterium. RNAcentral describes it as "6S RNA". It matches the Rfam family "6S / SsrS RNA". From Rfam's summary of the family: E. coli 6S RNA was the first non coding RNA to be sequenced, but its function was unknown until recently. The record is from RNAcentral. Lineage: Bacteria; Pseudomonadati; Acidobacteriota; Terriglobia; Bryobacterales.
GCGUUCCUGCCGCGUUUGUGUGCGGCUUCCAAAAAUUGAUCCAACAGUCAAUGUCAUGGGGUCCGGCUCGAUUUCGUGCUGUUGAGCAAGCUCCGGCGGCUAAGACCCGCCAUGGAGAAGCCUGAAGGCGCGCGGAGGACUCCACCCUGCUGAGUUCGGGGUCAAAUGACGGAAGCUAGGACGGCGUAGUGGUGCGCU